GUAUAAGGUUUAUAGGCACAAAGGCCCACUUACUACAUUCUAUAACAUACAUUAGGGGUAUAUUGAAGGAACAUAGACCUGGAAAUGUAAAGACAGACAAUAAAGUCAAUCCUCAAACCUGACAUGCUACAAAAAGCAUUCAGAAAGAGAUCCAAGUCUACAAAGAGUGCACAGGUGGAAAUAUAAAAAUGACAAGUGUGCACAUGUUCCCUAGAGAACCAGCAGCAACUCAUCAGGUUUAUUUCAAUAAUGAUCCUUCCGCAGGUUCACCUACGGAAA
RNAcentral lists this unclassified non-coding RNA (279 nucleotides) under uncultured fungus. RNAcentral describes it as "sequence contains ITS1". Lineage: Eukaryota; Fungi. The record is from RNAcentral.